AUUGAACGCUGGCGGCAUGCCUUACACAUGCAAGUCGAACGCGAAAGGGGGCGAACUCCUGAGUAGAGUGGCGAACGGGUGAGUAAUACAUCGGAACAUUUCCUGUAGUGGGGAGUAACUUCGAGAAAUCGAAGCUAAUACCGCGUACGUCCUAUGGGAGAAAGCAGGGGAUCGCAAGGCCUUGCGCUAUAGGAGUGGCCGAUGUCGGAUUAGCUAGUUGGCGGGGUAAAAGCCCCACCAAGGCGACGAUCCGUAGCUGGUCUGAGAGGAUGAUCAGCCACACUGGGACUGAGACACGGCCCAGACUCCUACGGGAGGGCAGCAGUGGGGAAUUUUUGGACAAUGGGCGCAAGCCUGAUCCAGCCAUGCCGCGUGAGUGAAGAAGGCCUCGGUGUAAG
Molecule: ribosomal RNA, 398 nt
Filed under: uncultured bacterium
Lineage: Bacteria
Description: bacterial SSU rRNA
Rfam family: Bacterial small subunit ribosomal RNA
Source: RNAcentral